Molecule: unclassified non-coding RNA, 708 nt
Filed under: Hevea brasiliensis (rubber tree)
Lineage: Eukaryota; Viridiplantae; Streptophyta; Magnoliopsida; Malpighiales; Euphorbiaceae
Source: RNAcentral
AGCAAAAAGUUCACAAAGAUAUUUUCACAUUCCAACCCUAAAAAAUAGAAAGGUGAUUUUGGUAGUCUUCUCUGUCCAUUUCAUUUCUGGAUAUAUCUUAGAACAACAAUCAUCAAGAUUCACUAGUACUUUGAAUUGUGAUAAUGAGUCCCGGGGAAAGCCGUCCCUGUGAUUUCUGCAAUCAGCAGAUUGCCGUCCUUUACUGCCGAGCUGAUACAGCUAAGCUCUGUCUUUUUUGUGACCAACUUGUUCAUUCAGCUAACGCUCUUUCUAAGAAGCAUCUUCGUUCUCAGAUCUGUGAUAAUUGUGGCUCUGAACCUGUUUCUAUUCGUUGUGAUACCGACAAACUUGUACUCUGUCAAGAAUGUGAUUGGGAUGCUCAUGGAAGUUGUGCAGUUUCUGGUGCACACGAUCGGAGUCCUGUUGAAGGGUUUUCUGGAUGUCCUUCUGCUUCUGACCUUGCUUCAGCUUGGGGUUUGGAUAUUGAGUCAAAAAAACUACAUCAGCAGCAUACCGUUUUGGAGUAUCCUUCUUGGAUGUCUAAGGAUGCUCCUCCUUCUGUUUUGUUGCAGGAUUUAAUGGUACCUAGCGCUAUUAAUUCUGCUAUUUACUCCACCAAACAAACUCCAACUUGUGGCAAGCAGAAACAAGUCAUAUUCAAACAAUUAAUUGAGCUAUUCAAGAGAGAUUUGGCUGAUGGGGUUGGAG